CUUGGUCAUUUAGAGGAAGUAAAAGUCGUAACAAGGUCUCCGUUGGUGAACCAGCGGAGGGAUCAUUACCGAGUUUACAACUCCCAAACCCCUGUGAACAUACCUAUACGUUGCCUCGGCGGAUCAGCCCGCGCCCCGUAAAACGGGACGGCCCGCCCGAGGACCCCUAAACUCUGUUUUUAGUGGAACUUCUGAGUAAAACAAACAAAUAAAUCAAAACUUUCAACAACGGAUCUCUUGGUUCUGGCAUCGAUGAAGAACGCAGCGAAAUGCGAUAAGUAAUGUGAAUUGCAGAAUUCAGUGAAUCAUCGAAUCUUUGAACGCACAUUGCGCCCCCUGGUAUUCCGGGGGGCAUGCCUGUUCGAGCGUCAUUUCACCACUCAAGCCUCGCUUGGUAUUGGGCGACGCGGUCCGCCGCGCGCCUCAAAUCGACCGGCUGGGUCUUCUGUCCCCUCAGCGUUGUGGAAACUAUUCGCUAAAGGGUGCUCGGGAGGCUACGCCGUAAAACAACCCCAUUUCUAAGGUUGACCUCGGAUCAGGUAGGGAUACCCGCUGAACUUAAGCAUAUCAAUAAGCGGAGGA
RNAcentral lists this ribosomal RNA (582 nucleotides) under uncultured fungus. RNAcentral describes it as "eukaryotic LSU rRNA". The stretch from base 218 to 371 matches the Rfam family "5.8S ribosomal RNA". Lineage: Eukaryota; Fungi. The record is from RNAcentral.